CUAUGGAACAACCUAUAGAGUUUAGAGAGGGAGACUUUUCUACUGAACAAAGAAACCAACAGCAGAGAUCAGAGAUUCUCCGUAGUCAGUCUUCCCAGAGUCAUCAAACAGACCUGGCCUCCAUAUUCAGUUUGCUUGAAGAGAAAAUUAUGAAAUUUGUGAAGAACGAGCUGAAGAUGUU
Salvelinus namaycush (lake trout) is the source of this 181-nucleotide long non-coding RNA. RefSeq lists it as uncharacterized. The transcript has 3 exons. Lineage: Eukaryota; Metazoa; Chordata; Actinopteri; Salmoniformes; Salmonidae. The record is from RefSeq and is a predicted model, not a curated record.